GACGAACGCUGGCGGCGUGCUUAACACAUGCAAGUCGAACGGAAAGGCCCUGCUUUUGUGGGGUGCUCGAGUGGCGAACGGGUGAGUAACACGUGAGUAACCUGCCCUUGACUUUGGGAUAACUUCAGGAAACUGGGGCUAAUACCGGAUAGGAGCUCCUGCUGCAUGGUGGGGGUUGGAAAGGUUCGGCGGUUGGGGAUGGACUCGCGGGUUAUCAGCUUGUUGGUGGGGUAGUGGCUUACCAAGGCUUUGACGGGUAGCCGGCCUGAGAGGGUGACCGGCCACAUUGGGACUGAGAGACGGCCCAGACUCCUACGGGAGGCAGCAGUGGGGAAUAUUGCACAAUGGGCGGAAGCCUGAUGCAGCAACGCCGCGUGCGGGAUGACGGCCUUCGGGUUGUAAACCGCUUUCGCCUGUGACGAAGCGUGAGUGACGGUAAUGGGUAAAGAAGCACCGGCUAACUACGUG
This 468-nucleotide ribosomal RNA is filed under the name uncultured bacterium. RNAcentral describes it as "partial 16S ribosomal RNA". It matches the Rfam family "Bacterial small subunit ribosomal RNA", at positions 28 to 507 of the family's 1533-position model. The record is from RNAcentral.